UACGGAGGAUCCAAGUGUUAUCCGGAUUUAUUGGGUUUAAAGGGUGCGUAGGCGGCCUAUUAAGUCAGGGGUGAAAGACGGUAGCUUAACUAUCGCAGUGCCUUUGAUACUGAUGGGCUUGAAUGUACUUGAGGUAGGCGGAAUGUGACAAGUAGCGGUGAAAUGCAUAGAUAUGUCACAGAACACCAAUUGCGAAGGCAGCUUACUAAAGUAUGAUUGACGCUGAGGCACGAAAGCGUGGGGAUCAAACAGG
RNAcentral lists this ribosomal RNA (253 nucleotides) under uncultured bacterium. RNAcentral's name for it is "partial 16S ribosomal RNA". It matches the Rfam family "Bacterial small subunit ribosomal RNA", at positions 524 to 776 of the family's 1533-position model. The record is from RNAcentral.